This 70-nucleotide transfer RNA is filed under the name Anaerolineae bacterium. RNAcentral's name for it is "tRNA-Leu". The record is from RNAcentral. Lineage: Bacteria; Bacillati; Chloroflexota; Anaerolineae.
CGGGGUGCGCGGUGUGGAUCGGUUCUCGUUAAGAACGAUGAGGUCCCCGGUUCAAAUCCGGGCGCCCCGA